This 1056-nucleotide ribosomal RNA is filed under the name Triticum aestivum (bread wheat). Its description in RNAcentral is "partial small subunit ribosomal RNA". The record is from RNAcentral. Lineage: Eukaryota; Viridiplantae; Streptophyta; Magnoliopsida; Poales; Poaceae.
AUGGCUUCCAAGCUCUCGGUUGCUGUUCUUCUCCUCUGUGUCGGCGUGUGCGUGGCUCGCAACAGCGACUUCUCCAUCGUCGGCUACUCGGAGGAGGACCUGUCGUCGCACGACAGGCUCAUCGAGCUGUUCGAGAAGUGGCUGGCCAAGCACCAGAAGGCGUACGCGAGCUUCGAGGAGAAGCUGCACCGGUUCGAGGUGUUCAAGGACAACCUGAAGCUCAUCGACGAGAUCAACCGGGAGGUGACCAGCUACUGGCUUGGUCUCAAUGAGUUCGCCGACCUCACCCACGACGAGUUCAAGGCCGCCUACCUUGGCCUCAGCCCUCCUCCGGCUAGCCGGAGCAGUAGCCGGAGCUUCAGGUACGAGGACUUGUCUGCCCGCGACUUGCCGAAGGAGGUUGACUGGAGGAAGAAGGGCGCGGUGACGGACGUGAAGAACCAGGGGCAGUGCGGCAGCUGCUGGGCAUUCUCGACCGUGGCGGCGGUGGAGGGGAUCAACGCGAUCGUGACGGGCAACCUGACGGCGCUGUCGGAGCAGGAGCUCAUCGACUGCAGCGUCGACGGCAACAGUGGCUGCAACGGCGGUAUGAUGGACUAUGCCUUCUCCUACAUCGCCUCCAGCGGCGGCCUCCACACCGAGGAGGCCUAUCCGUACCUUAUGGAGGAAGGCAGCUGCGGCGACGGCAAGAAGAGUGAGUCUGAGGCGGUGUCGAUCAGCGGCUACGAGGACGUGCCGGCAAAGGACGAGCAGGCGCUGAUCAAGGCGCUCGCACACCAGCCCGUCUCCGUCGCCAUUGAGGCCUCCGGCAGGCACUUCCAGUUCUACAGCGGGGGGGUUUUCGAUGGUCCGUGCGGCGCGCAUCUGGAUCACGGGGUGGCGGCGGUCGGGUACGGGUCGGACAAGGGCAAGGGGCACGACUACAUCAUUGUGAAGAACUCGUGGGGAGCCAAGUGGGGCGAGAAGGGGUACAUCAGGAUGAAGAGGGCCACCGGCAAGGGCGAGGGCCUCUGCGGCAUCAACAAGAUGGCCUCCUACCCAACCAAGGACAACUGA